Molecule: long non-coding RNA, 1597 nt
Organism: Medicago truncatula (barrel medic)
Lineage: Eukaryota; Viridiplantae; Streptophyta; Magnoliopsida; Fabales; Fabaceae
Exons: 2
Source: RefSeq, a predicted model, not a curated record
CACAAACUUGCUCACCAAUCUCACUUGGUACUCUCUCACGCUUACUUUCACUUCCUUCCAUGUUUUUUUAAUACCCUCGAUCCUUUUUUUUUUUACUACAAAACAAUCCAUGCUAAAAUAGUACGUAGUACUUUUUCAAACGGAAGGAAUAUUCAUUGUUUUCUUUUAAAGUUUGAGAUUUUCCAAAAUCUGUGCAGUGACCUUAUUAAUAGUUAUUUUGAAGUAGUCACAUGAGCGUAAUUUUUUUUUAAUAAGGUCACUCCUUGUAUCUUUUUAUAUUUUCUGUUCUUUUCAUUUUCUUUGUAUUUUUCGGGAAAGAAAUUAGUGAAUUGAGAGUCUGAUUUGGUGUUGGUGCAGGUUCAACUUGCCGGAAUGUCAAAGGAAGUUGCAUACGAAAACAUACACAUAAGCUUUAUCAUGUAUUUGAUAGUGUCAACUAAUACAGAAAACCUAUUUAUCUAGCUAACAUAUUUUUACACAAUCAAUAUACGAGUAAUGUGUAAAAAUAUGAAAAUAUGUUAGAUAGAAAGAUUUUAUAUAGUAGUUGACAUUAUCAAAUAUAUGAAAGAACUUGUAGAGCAUUUGGAAGUUUUAACAUAGUCAUGUACGGGUGGUUCUGACCAAACCAGACCUCUGCAGCGAUGAGGAUUCCUCGUCAUUUGAUGAGUACAAGGGAUUUCUAGUUAAAAUUAUGGCCAAAAUUAAAAAAUUUAAACUAUUUGUUGUCAAAAGCAAUGUCUUAUCUUUUGGAGAUUCUAUCCUGGACAUUACCAUUACUAUUUCUUUUUUUAAUCAAGUAGACUUGUGGGGUGUCCGAGUUCGAACUCAGUUGGGUGAAGGCAACAACUUGAGCAUAAAGGAACUUGCAAAGAACUACUUAUGACAACAUUGAAGUUUAUGUCAUCAUAAUAACAUGAACAAGAAGUUGUUAGCUGCCAGUGAUCAAAAGUUACAAAUACUUUAUUUAUUUAUCUACAACUUUUCGAUUAAUGUAUCUUUGGUUUACCUCGUUUUAAAAAUUUAUUUAUCUAUAAAGUGUUGAAACAAUCAAACAAUAUCUUCAAUCCUACUGGAAGAUGCAAAUCUAUGUUUCUUUUUUCUUCUUAAUUAAGAUAGUACUAUGUUUUUUUUUUUUUUUUUUUUUGACAAAAGAUAGUACUAUGUAUAAUGGACAAAUAACAAUAAUCGUAUUCUUAUCGUUUUUUUGUUUUGUUUUGGUAAUUCUAGUUAAAAAGGUGGAUCUAGCAUCGUGAAGUAUAGGCCUACACCGCGAACCAUUUUUUUUUUUCCUAAAUCUUUGGGAAAUGGACGCCUAUGAAUAUUGAACUCCUAGGUCAGUAGAAAAACACAUUUUGAGGAGCCGACGAAGGCAAAAACACGAUUUCUGAAGGACUGGAGCAACCGACGCCAUUCAAAAGCCAAGAAACCAUCAAUGAUCUUUUUCUCAUGCUUUUUUAUUCCUGCCUAAUCAUAUGUGUUAGAAGCUAUGAUUACUUAAUCCUCUUUAGGUUAGGUCAUGAAAGAUGAAUUUCCUUGUAAUUAGUUUGUUCAUGUAACUUUAAAUAAUUCUCUUAAUAUUAAGUCGAUUACUUUGUUA